Molecule: long non-coding RNA, 239 nt
Organism: Trifolium pratense (red clover)
Lineage: Eukaryota; Viridiplantae; Streptophyta; Magnoliopsida; Fabales; Fabaceae
Exons: 4
Source: RefSeq, a predicted model, not a curated record
AGCAGGGUAUUGAGAUAGAAGGGACUUCUAAGACUAAUAAUGGUCAUGGGGAUCCUUCUCAAAAAGUAGAAGAUUUAGCAAUACUACCAACAAAUUCCGAAAUACAAAUGAAACAAACCCUAGAGGCUGAGCACGUAUUUAUUCCAAACGAUCCAGAUUUAGCAAUACUGCCAACAAGUUCAGAAGAACAAUCACUUGGAGAAACUGAUACUAUAGUCAAACCUUCACAAGUACAUAAU